CUCAUCUUGGACACUACAAAAUGAUGGACCUGGAGCAACACUCAUGGAGUGAAAAGCACUCAAGAAGGCCUGUUCCGCUGCACACCAGAAAAACAUGGAAGGAUGAUGGAAUGAAUUCUGUAGAAUUCAGAGUCCUUUCAAGACAGAAGCACCUUCUUUAUACCAACAUCACUGUGGACAUUGGGAAUGCUCCCACUCUGCCUCCCCAAGCACACAGAAAAUAGCUUGAGUAUUGAUGUAGGUGAUGCACAAUUUCCAGGUAUUGCAAUCAGUCAGGAAUCAGAGGUCUACAAAGACUGAGGAAUUAUUUCCUGCUGUGGGCUUCAUCUUUCCUCCAAACAUGCAAAGGUUAGAAGAAACGUCUUCAGGAAUGAGGCAUGAUAGCUAAUAGACCGGAUUCCAUUUAUUGUAAGGAAUCCUUUUAAGCGCUGUAAAAUGUGAGGCUUAUUGAGCCCUUUUCACACACAGCCUUCGGUUGCAGGCUUGAAGAAUAAGUCCCUGUUUAUCACCAGCCAAACACACUCUAAACUGUGUACUGUUAAAUCAGCUGGCUAGUUAAACUCUGCAUAUUCCACUGUUUACUAUUUUAAAAUGGUCAUUGAGAUUAAAGACAUUCUGAGGUAUAUGUUCUAUGUUUUGUUUCGGGGGGUGAGGAGGGAAUACCUUCAACCCUGUCUCACUGGGGAACAGACUCUCUAGUUGCUGUCUUUCUUGAAAUAAGUUUUCUUUUUCCUUUAGUGUUGGAAAGAAAAAUAUUUAACUGUUACAAAUGUAAAUAUUCUUCAGGAAGUUUAAAUAAAGGAUUUUGAAAGUUAAUA
This is a non-coding RNA of Pelodiscus sinensis (Chinese soft-shelled turtle), 818 nucleotides long. The record is from RefSeq and is a predicted model, not a curated record. NCBI's taxonomy places the organism in Eukaryota, Metazoa, Chordata, Testudines, Trionychidae.